CUCAGACGAUGGGAUUCCACUUCAUUGGUCUGUGUUUCUGAAACACAUGAUAACAGUGUAAGUUCUGAUGGC
This is a small nucleolar RNA of Amazona collaria (yellow-billed parrot), 72 nucleotides long. Its record names the gene SNORD18. It matches the Rfam family "Small nucleolar RNA SNORD18". Rfam says of the family: U18 is a member of the C/D class of snoRNA which contain the C (UGAUGA) and D (CUGA) box motifs. It is encoded in introns of ribosomal protein L1 in Xenopus and human, and in introns of elongation factor 1 beta in yeast. Related snoRNAs in Arabidopsis and rice have been named R63 and Z106 respectively. The record is from Ensembl. Lineage: Eukaryota; Metazoa; Chordata; Aves; Psittaciformes; Psittacidae.